This 462-nucleotide ribosomal RNA is filed under the name uncultured bacterium. Its description in RNAcentral is "partial 16S ribosomal RNA". It matches the Rfam family "Bacterial small subunit ribosomal RNA", at positions 28 to 507 of the family's 1533-position model. The record is from RNAcentral.
GACGAACGCUGGCGGCGUGCUUAACGCAUGCAAGUCGAACGGAAAGGCCCUUCGGGGUACUCGAGUGGCGAACGGGUGAGUAACACGUGGGUGAUCUGCCCUGCACUUUGGGAUAAGCCUGGGAAACUGGGUCUAAUACCGAAUAUGAUCAUCGGCUUCAUGGUCGGUGGUGGAAAGCUUUUGCGGUGUGGGAUGGGCCCGCGGCCUAUCAGCUUGUUGGUGGGGUAAUGGCCUACCAAGGCGACGACGGGUAGCCGGCCUGAGAGGGUGACCGGCCACACUGGGACUGAGAUACGGCCCAGACUCCUACGGGAGGCAGCAGUGGGGAAUAUUGCACAAUGGGCGCAAGCCUGAUGCAGCGACGCCGCGUGAGGGAUGACGGCCUUCGGGUUGUAAACCUCUUUCAGCACAGACGAAGCGCAAGUGACGGUAUGUGCAGAAGAAGGACCGGCCAACUACGUG